Neltuma alba is the source of this 339-nucleotide long non-coding RNA. RefSeq lists it as uncharacterized. The transcript is spliced from 3 exons. The record is from RefSeq and is a predicted model, not a curated record. Lineage: Eukaryota; Viridiplantae; Streptophyta; Magnoliopsida; Fabales; Fabaceae.
GCUCUUAUGCAGUCCUCUGUUAAGUGGAUCCGAUAAAAACGCGAGUGGCGAUGCUGGAGACCUUGUCCAAAAUGCAGAUAAUACAUGGGAAGGCUAUGUAAAGGAGACUGCAUCUUUUAUAAUUUCUGAUGAUCUAUCUGUAACUCCUGCUAAUUUCAACACAACAUUGUGUCUGCUAAAGAAUCUACGCUCUGAAUGUCUACCGGAGGAAUCCACUGUAGUUCUUAGUUCAAAUGAGAUUUUGGACCUACUCAAGUACUUGUUGAUCUCCAAGACGGCACUCACAGAUUCAUUGUUAAGAAAGGAGCACAGCCUUAUGUAUUCCGAUACCUCGUUCAA